RNAcentral lists this ribosomal RNA (468 nucleotides) under uncultured bacterium. RNAcentral describes it as "partial 16S ribosomal RNA". It matches the Rfam family "Bacterial small subunit ribosomal RNA", at positions 28 to 507 of the family's 1533-position model. The record is from RNAcentral.
GACGAACGCUGGCGGCGUGCUUAACACAUGCAAGUCGAACGGAAAGGCCCUGCUUUUGUGGGGUGCUCGAGUGGCGAACGGGUGAGUAACACGUGAGUAACCUGCCCUUGACUUUGGGAUAACUUCAGGAAACUGGGGCUAAUACCGGAUAGGAGCUCCUGCUGCAUGGUGGGGGUUGGAAAGUUUCGGCGGUUGGGUAUGGACUCGCGGCUUAUCAGCUUGUUGGUGGGGUAGUGGCGUACCAAGGCUUUGACGGGUAGCCGGCCUGAGAGGUUGACCGGCCACAUUGGGACUGGGAUACGGCCCGAACUCCUACGGGAGUCAGCAGUGGGGAAUAUUGCACAAGGGGCGGAAGCCUGAUGCAGCAACGCCGCGUGCGAGAUGACGGCCUUCGGGUUGUAAGCCGCUUUCGCCUGUGACGAAGCGUGAGUGACGGUAAUGGGUAAGGAAGCACCGGCUAGCUACGUG